RNAcentral lists this ribosomal RNA (309 nucleotides) under Triticum aestivum (bread wheat). Its description in RNAcentral is "partial small subunit ribosomal RNA". The record is from RNAcentral. Lineage: Eukaryota; Viridiplantae; Streptophyta; Magnoliopsida; Poales; Poaceae.
AUGUGGCGAAUAAAAAUAUUGCUCCAAGUAAAGUUACCGAUAGACGAAGACGAAAGAGGGGAUGCCUUCCGGGGCAUCCCCAAGCUUAGGCUUUUGGUUAUCCUUGAAUAUCUUGGGGUGCCAUGGGCAUCCACAAGCUUAGGCUCUUGCCACUCCUUAUUCCAUAGUCCAUCAAAUCUUUACCCAAAACUUGAAAACUUCACAACACAAAACUCAACAGGAAAUCUCAUAAGCUCCGUUAGUGGAAGAAAGAAAAACCACCACAUAAGGUACUGUAAUGAACUCAUUCUUCAUUUAUAUUGGUGUUAA